RNAcentral lists this unclassified non-coding RNA (2394 nucleotides) under Hevea brasiliensis (rubber tree). The record is from RNAcentral. Lineage: Eukaryota; Viridiplantae; Streptophyta; Magnoliopsida; Malpighiales; Euphorbiaceae.
UUCUUUUAGUAGUAGGAAAUUUAACAAGUAAUGUUAAAUUUUUAUAAAAAAGUUUUUUGGAAUUUUAUGUUUUGGUAGGACUAUUUAGCAAAUUUCUAUUUUUUAUUUCCCUCUAUAAGGUUUUAGCCUCUAGAGGCUUGGGGAGUUUUUGGAAUUAAAUUCUUAUUUUGGGUCUGAGGUCUUAGGUUAUAUAUCACCUGCAUAUCAAUAUUUAUUUUCCCUGAGCAACAAUAUGUAGAGGAGGUACACAAAACAGCUUAGAAGGAGAUCAUGCUUACAUGCAUAAAUAUAAAAUAUUGCAAGUUUUUACUACCCCCUUCCCCCUGCCAAUCUAAGGCAGAUAAGCAUAUGCAAGCAUCAAAUCAAGACCAAAAGAAAGAAAAACUAACUGCCUCACCAUCUUUCUCCACCAUAGAUAGGAAUUGCCGUGUUCCCCCACCAACUCCAAAAUAAUACUUUUUUGCUGCCAUAUAUACCACUCCAUAAGGACCGCGAACACACUUCUUUAUAAGUUCAUAGAGACUUUGUUGAGCAGAGAUUGAAUAUAUCGUCUCUGCCAUUAAAAUGAUAUCAUAACUGGAAACUGGACACUCCUCUGAGCAACAGUUCAGAUCUUUUUCAUUAUCAUGUAUGUGAGGAAGACACUGAUGGAUUUGAGCCCAGUCACCAGCAAAGAAACGUAGUUCCACACCAGAAUCAGAAUUUUUCUCAUCCGAUGCAGUGCAAGGAAAUUCUUUUGAAAGAUUGACAUCCACAUUGGGAAUGGUGAGAGAUCGCAGAACUUCUGCAUUGAAAUCCUGAAAAUGUACGACAGCUGCACCCUCUAGGCAUGCAAAGAUCCCUGGAAGUCCAUGACCACAUCCAAGCUGAAAACCAUCACAAAAUCAGGAAUAAAAAUUGAAAGCAGGAGAGACAAAAGACAUCUGUCUUAGCACAUAUUUAUCAUACUUGCAGUCAUCAUUUGAUCAACUAUCACAAUAGACAACAAUUUUGGAAAUUAACAAGGCCAGUUUACAGUUGCAAUUAUCAUAAUAAACAAUAGAUUAUCCUCCCUAUGGCUGCAAUGUCACGCUACGUUUGCCCUGGGCUUCUAAAAUCAAUGGAAUUCAUAAUCUACUGUCUUUAUAAGUUUUUAAUUGUAUGGAUUUAUAUAAUCUCACUUGUUUAGUAUGUUAUCAACUCCAUUGCCAGUGUGAUUUUCUCAAGUAACCUAAAAACUCAAAUUCAUAGUAUAACAAACAUUUAAUUAAAUAUAUAAUUAUCAUAAGCUUAACAUUUAAAAUAACUACUUAUUGAGAAAAGAUAAUUUUCUAGUCCUAAUCGAAGUAGAUAUUACCAAGCAAAAAACUUGCAAUAAUUUUUCUCUUUGAUAGCAGUAUGACAAUAAUAUUUGAAAUUGACUAUUCAGCUUGAAUUAUAAAUAGAAGAGUUUAAACCAAGAAUUCAAGAAAUUAAUUUUUAAAUUUAUUUCUUCAAUUUAGUAUGAAAUGGAUAAUUCUUUUCUACAACUGCUGAUAUAUAAAUUGACAACGGUUGAUGGUCCAAAUAAAAAAUUAAAAGAAAUACUUUUUUAAGCUAAAUACAGGAAUGUCCAUUCUUCUUAAUAGCCAACCUGUAUCAAGCUAUACUAGCAAAAACGUGCUGGUACUUAUGGCAAUGGGAAAAGAAGUACGGAUAUAGCCAAAAUUGAAUUGAUACACAAUUAUUCUCAUUAUCAGCCAUUACGAUACAUAAUGGCCACCAAUUAAGACCUGAUUAAAUCUACUUAGGUUUCUGGCACAUGAUCCUAAAAUGUUUUACCUUCAUCAUCCACCACAUCUAAAUUAUUGGAUUUGUAACGCCCACAUAUUUCCUCCAAAUCAUCUAGCUCUUUGAUUUACAUACAACUGGUUGAUGUCCAUAUGGUUAGAUUCAUAGUCUGCUUUUUUCUCCUUGCAUUCAUAAAAGUUGGAUUCAUUUUGCCCGAAUUAAACCUAAUUUUUCUGAUUGCUAUCUAAUGCUUUCUUGCAUUUCUCCUCAAAUCCAUGAGUUAGAAGUGACAUUAACAAGGGACAAGAAAAUAAACUAAACAAGUGCCAAGAAUAAAUCUAUUGCCUGAUACACCUAGAUUCUAGCUAGGACUCACCUAGGCAAUGUUCAUGCCUUAUUGGACCUGGCAUAGGAUCUUAGGCUGUGCUGCACUAUGCCUCACCUUUCAUUUUAUGACACUGGCCAUAGUUGUUAGACACAGAACAUAUACUGAUGACUUGACAGAGAACACUAAUAUUUACAUGGAAUCCUAUUUAGAAGAAUUACUGCAAUAUUCCCAGUGUCAUAAAUACUCAUCUAAAGCCAGCUUUCACAAAGUAAUCACAAAGUUUUUAAGCAAUUACUCAAUUCAACUCAACUAAGCCU